GAUGAACGCUGGCGGCGUGCCUAAUACAUGCAAGUCGAGCGAACAGACGAGGAGCUUGCUCCUCUGACGUUAGCGGCGGACGGGUGAGUAACACGUGGAUAACCUACCUAUAAGACUGGGAUAACUUCGGGAAACCGGAGCUAAUACCGGAUAAUAUAUUGAACCGCAUGGUUCAAUAGUGAAAGGCGGUUUUGCUGUCACUUAUAGAUGGAUCCGCGCCGCAUUAGCUAGUUGGUAAGGUAACGGCUUACCAAGGCAACGAUGCGUAGCCGACCUGAGAGGGUGAUCGGCCACACUGGAACUGAGACACGGUCCAGACUCCUACGGGAGGCAGCAGUAGGGAAUCUUCCGCAAUGGGCGAAAGCCUGACGGAGCAACGCCGCGUGAGUGAUGAAGGUCUUCGGAUCGUAAAACUCUGUUAUUAGGGAAGAACAAAUGCGUAAGUAACUAUGCACGUCUUGACGGUACCUAAUCAGAAAGCCACGGCUAACUACGUG
Molecule: ribosomal RNA, 497 nt
Filed under: uncultured bacterium
Lineage: Bacteria
Description: partial 16S ribosomal RNA
Rfam family: Bacterial small subunit ribosomal RNA
Source: RNAcentral